RNAcentral lists this long non-coding RNA (554 nucleotides) under Panax ginseng (ginseng). RNAcentral's name for it is "long non-coding RNA (PGIN_LNC017286)". Lineage: Eukaryota; Viridiplantae; Streptophyta; Magnoliopsida; Apiales; Araliaceae. The record is from RNAcentral.
AAAAACUCUCUCACACGAAUGAAGUUGCAGCAGCGACAACCUUCAAGUAGUGUAUGUAUCAAUUAGCAUGCAUAUAUAGUUAGUUCUAUCAUCUAUGAAUAUAUAUAUAUAUAUAUAUAUAUAUACUCUAAAUUACUAUAUAUUACGUAAAUGCACAUGCAUGCAUGCAUGCAUUCAAGCACCGAAACACAUUGCGCCUAAUUGUAGUAGAAAGUAUAUAUAUAUAUAUACUAUGCAGAAUAUUAAUUUGUAGAACAGAUGCGAAAGCAAAAGGAUAUAUACGAUGUUCGUUCUUACCUGCUAGGGGAUGGAGAACUUGGUCAGCAGUUUUCAAUGGAGUACUGUCUGCAGCUGCGUACGCGCACAUCAUGAUCGACGACGCAACCAGGAGCCACACCAGAGCUAUCGCCAAAGUCUUCUUCUGCAUCAUCUUUAAUAUAUACUCUGCUCUCAACUGUGAAAUUAUUAAGUGUAGCUAGCUCGGGUAAUUUUCCCUUCUUCUCUUGCAUUCUAUUUAUACACGAAAAUUCACCUAUUUUUUCAAUAUUUUAAAG